GAGAAUACAAAGAUGAAAAUAAGAAACUAAGAGGAAAGAGAAGAAAAGAAAAUUAUGGAAAAAGAGGGAACAAGGAAAAGCAAAAUAAGUUUUGUUAAAAAAUGAGUGAGAGGAGAUUCAACUCUAGGUCUAAGGCCUAAGAAGAAGCACUUGGACUGUGGCACCUAUCAUAACAUUGUUCAUUAGGGUGCUACAAAAUUAUUUUGUACUUUUUUUACAUGAAAUAUCAGUGGAAUACCAGUACUAAUAUGAAAUUCUAUCGGAGCGAUCGGGUGACGUACCACAUCCUUCCCUCUACAUAGAUCCGCCCUUCCUGUAGGAGUUGGAGGCAUGAGGUUUAACAAUUACAGGGAACAGAAGCUAAAGCCACCUUCAACCCUAACUAAACAACAAAAUGGUUUAUUAAACUUGAAAACUGGAAGACACCCGGAACAAUUUCUAUGGAAUCUUGUAAAAAUAAUGCAUUUUUGGUUUCAUAAAUAAACUAUCGUGGACUUACCCUCAUAUAUUCCUCAGCAGAGACAGG
RNAcentral lists this long non-coding RNA (526 nucleotides) under Nicotiana tabacum (common tobacco). RNAcentral's name for it is "long non-coding RNA (NTAB_LNC014820)". Lineage: Eukaryota; Viridiplantae; Streptophyta; Magnoliopsida; Solanales; Solanaceae. The record is from RNAcentral.